GCCUGAGUGGCUCAGUCGGUUGAGCAUCUGACUUUGGCUCAGGUCAUGAUCUUGCGGUCCGUGAGUUUGAGGCCCGCGUCGGGCU
Molecule: transfer RNA, 85 nt
Filed under: Felis catus (domestic cat)
Lineage: Eukaryota; Metazoa; Chordata; Mammalia; Carnivora; Felidae
Rfam family: tRNA
About the family: Transfer RNA (tRNA) molecules are approximately 80 nucleotides in length. Their secondary structure includes four short double-helical elements and three loops (D, anti-codon, and T loops).
Source: Rfam by way of RNAcentral